ACUCCAGGGAGACUGCCGGUGAUAAACCGGAGGAAGGUGGGGACGACGUCAAGUCAUCAUGGCCCUUACGAGUAGGGCUACACACGUGCUACAAUGGCGCAUACAGAGGGCAGCCAACUUGCGAAAGUGAGCGAAUCCCAAAAAGUGCGUCGUAGUCCGGAUUGGAGUCUGCAACUCGACUCCAUGAAGUCGGAAUCGCUAGUAAUCGUGGAUCAGAAUGCCACGGUGAAUACGUUCC
Molecule: ribosomal RNA, 238 nt
Filed under: Vibrio parahaemolyticus
Lineage: Bacteria; Pseudomonadati; Pseudomonadota; Gammaproteobacteria; Vibrionales; Vibrionaceae
Description: partial 16S ribosomal RNA
Rfam family: Bacterial small subunit ribosomal RNA
Source: RNAcentral